RNAcentral lists this long non-coding RNA (320 nucleotides) under Lathyrus oleraceus (garden pea). RNAcentral describes it as "Pisum sativum (pea) long non-coding RNA (PSAT_LNC015438)". Lineage: Eukaryota; Viridiplantae; Streptophyta; Magnoliopsida; Fabales; Fabaceae. The record is from RNAcentral.
UCACUUCUUCAUGAUUCUGCAUUUUUCAUUCUUGAAUCUCCACCUCCAAUCCUUCGAUCUUCACCCUCUCAGUUUAUUCUGCAACAAGUCUUCAUUCUGCAAAAUCUCCUCAUUCUGCUCCACCUUCAUCAUCUUCCUGCUUCAUCUUCCUCUUCUGUUUCACCUCAUAUCCCACAUUCAUCUUUUGCGGUGUCCUCAUUCUGCUCCACCUUCAUCAUCUUCCUGCUUCAUCUUCCUCUUCUGUUUCACCUCAUAUCCCACAUUCAUCUUUUGCGGUGCAAAUCAAUCGCACAACAACCUCGCACAAUAACACAACAACA